This 770-nucleotide ribosomal RNA is filed under the name uncultured Neocallimastigales. RNAcentral describes it as "partial large subunit ribosomal RNA". It matches the Rfam family "Eukaryotic large subunit ribosomal RNA", at positions 22 to 644 of the family's 3401-position model. Lineage: Eukaryota; Fungi; Neocallimastigomycota; Neocallimastigomycetes; Neocallimastigales. The record is from RNAcentral.
UACACGCUGUGACUAGCAUAUCAAUAAGCGGAGGAAAAGAAACUAACAAGGAUUCCCUCAGUAACGGCGAGUGAAGCGGGAAGAGCUCAAAUUUGAAAUCUUGAAAGGUCACCUUUCACGAAUUGUAGUUUAAAGAAGUGUUUUCUGUUACGAUCGUAAUAUAAGUUCUUUGGAAUAGGACAUCACAGAGGGUGAGAAUCCCGUCUAUGAUUGCGAUUUGUAGCUUUGUGAUACACUUUCAAAGAGUCGGGUUGUUUGGGAAUGCAGCCCAAAACGGGAGGUAAAUUUCUUCUAAGGCUAAAUAUUGGCGAGAGACCGAUAGCGAACAAGUACCGUGAGGGAAAGAUGAAAAGAACUUUGAAAAGAGAGUUAAAUAGUACGUGAAAUUGUCAAAAGGGAAGCGUUUAACACCAGUGUUGUUUUCUGAAAAUCAACCUCUGUUAGCUUUAUGCAUGUUUGUUUAGACCUAAUCAGCUAUCUUGCAUGUUCUAUUGUUUGCAGUGGUGCACUUUUCAGUUUACAGGUCAACAUCAGUUUUUUUUACCGUAAAAAAGUUAAAGAAAGGUAGCUCAUGGCUCCGGUCGUGAGUGUUAUAGUCUUUUUCCUAUGCGGUAGGAGAGACUGAGGUCUGCAGUGUAGGCUAUUUGGCUAGAUACUCAGGUGCUAUGUGAUACCAUUUCAUAGACAACUUGUUGAUUAUGUUUUGUCUAUUGCAUACUCGCUUGUACUAUCAUACCUACGCUUAGGAUGUUGAACUACUGAGACAUAGA